GACGAACGCUGGCGGCGUGCUUAACACAUGCAAGUCGAACGGAAAGGCCCCCAUCUUGGUGGGGGUGCUCGAGUGGCGAACGGGUGAGUAACACGUGGGUGAUCUGCCCUGUACUUCGGGAUAAGCUUGGGAAACUGGGUCUAAUACCGGAUAGGACCAUGGUUUAGUGUCUCAUGGUGGAAAGAUUAUUGUUUUGGUGCAGGAUGAGCUCGCGGCCUAUCAGCUUGUUGGUGGGGUAAUGGCCUACCAAGGCGUCGACGGGUAGCCGGCCUGAGAGGGUGGACGGCCACAUUGGGACUGAGAUACGGCCCAGACUCCUACGGGAGGCAGCAGUGGGGAAUAUUGCACAAUGGGCGCAAGCCGGAUGCAGCGACGCCGCGUGGGGGAUGACGGCCUUCGGGUUGUAAACUCCUUUCGUUAGGGACGAAGCCGCACUUUUUUGGGGUGUGGUGACGGUACCUUUGUUAAGAAGCACCGGCUAACUACGUG
This 489-nucleotide ribosomal RNA is filed under the name uncultured bacterium. RNAcentral describes it as "partial 16S ribosomal RNA". It matches the Rfam family "Bacterial small subunit ribosomal RNA", at positions 28 to 507 of the family's 1533-position model. The record is from RNAcentral.